UAGUAAGCGGCGAGUGAAGCGGGAACAGCUCAAAUUUGAAAUCUGGCCCUUGGGUCCGAGUUGUAAUUUGCAGAGGAUGCUUUUGGUGCGGUGCCUUCCGAGUUCCCUGGAACGGGACGCCUUAGAGGGUGAGAGCCCCGUACGGUUGGCCACCAAGCCUGUGUAAAGCUCCUUCGACGAGUCGAGUAGUUUGGGAAUGCUGCUCAAAAUGGGAGGUAUAUUUCUUCUAAAGCUAAAUACUGGCCAGAGACCGAUAGCGCACAAGUAGAGUGAUCGAAAGAUGAAAAGCACUUUGAAAAGAGGGUUAAAUAGCACGUGAAAUUGUUGAAAGGGAAGGAUUUAUGACCAGACUUUUUCUGGGGGGAUCAUCCGGUGUUCUCACCGGUGCACUUCCCCCAGUGGAGGCCAGCAUCGGUUUCUGCCGGGGGACAAAAGCUUCGGGAAUGUGGCUCCUUCGGGAGUGUUAUAGCCCGUUGCAUAAUACCCUGGCGGGGACCGAGGUUCGCGCAUUGCAAGGAUGCUGGCGUAAUGGUUAUUAAUCACCCGUCUUGAAACACGGACCAAGGAGUCGAACAUUUGUGCGAGUGUUUGGGUGUUAAACCCUCACGCGUAAUGAAAGUGAACGGAGGUGAGAGCCCCUCGGGGUGCAUCAUCGACCGAUCCUGAUGUCUUCGGAUGGAUUUGAGUAAGAGCAUAACUGUUCGGACCCGAAAGAUGGUGAACUAUGCGUGGAUAGGGUGAAGCCAGAGGAAACUCUGGUGGAGGCUCGCAGCGGUUCUGACGUGCAAAUCGAUCGUCAAAUCUGCGCAUGGGGGCGAAAGACUAAUCGAACCAUCUAGUAGCUGGUUACCGCCGAAGUUUCCCUCAGGAUAGCAGUGUUGUGUUCAGUUUUAUGAGGUAAAGCGAAUGAUUAGGGACUCGGGGGCUAUUUAUUGCCUUCAUCCAUUCUCAAACUUUAAAUAUGUAAGAAGCCCUUGUUACUUUAUUGAACGUGGGCAUUCGAAUGUAUCAACACUAGUGGGCCAUUUUUGGUAAGCAGAACUGGCGAUGCGGGAUGAACCGAACGCGAGGUUAAGGUGCCAGAGUAGACGCUCAUCAGACACCACAAAAGGUGUUAGUACAUCUUGACAGCAGGACGGUGGCCAUGGAAGUCGGAAUCCGCUAAGGACUGUGUAACAACUCACCUGCCGAAUGUACUAGCCCUGAAAAUGGAUGGCGCUCAAGCGUCUCACCCAUACCUCGCCCUUAGGGUAGAAACGAUGCCCUAAGGAGUAG
RNAcentral lists this ribosomal RNA (1275 nucleotides) under Apiospora arundinis. Its description in RNAcentral is "LSU rRNA". It matches the Rfam family "Eukaryotic large subunit ribosomal RNA", at positions 81 to 1384 of the family's 3401-position model. Lineage: Eukaryota; Fungi; Ascomycota; Sordariomycetes; Amphisphaeriales; Apiosporaceae. The record is from RNAcentral.